CGGACGGGUGAGUAACGCGUGAGAAUUUGCCUUUAGGAGGGGGACAACAACUGGAAACGGCUGCUAAUACCCCAUAUGCUUUCGAGUGAAAUGGAUUUUUCCGCCUAGAGAGAAGCUUGCGGCUGAUUAGCUUGUUGGUGAGGUAAUGGCUCACCAAGGCGACGAUCAGUAUCUGGUUUGAGAGGAUGAUCAGACACACUGGAACUGAGACACGGUCCAGACUCCUACGGGAGGCAGCAGUGGGGAAUUUUCCGCAAUGGGCGAAAGCCUGACGGAGCAAUCUCGCGUGAGGGAUGACGGCCUAUGGGUUGUAAACCUCUUUUUUCAGGGAGGAACAAAAUGACGUGUACCUGAAGAAUAAGCAUCGGCUAACUCCGUGCCAGCAGCCGCGGUAAGACGGAGGAUGCAAGUGUUAUCCGGAAUCACUGGGCGUAAAGCGUCUGUAGGUGGUUUAAUAAGUCAACUGUUAAAUCUUGAAGCUCAACUUCAAGACCGCAGUCGAAACUAUUAGACUAGAGUAUAGUAGGGGUAAAGGGAAUUUCCAGUGGAGCGGUGAAAUGCGUAGAGAUUGGAAAGAACACCGAUGGCGAAGGCACUUUACUGGGCUAUUACUGACACUCAGAGACGAAAGCUAGGGUAGCAAAUGGGAUUAGAUACCCCAGUAGUC
Molecule: ribosomal RNA, 667 nt
Filed under: uncultured diatom
Lineage: Eukaryota; Bacillariophyta
Description: SSU rRNA
Rfam family: Bacterial small subunit ribosomal RNA
Source: RNAcentral